RNAcentral lists this ribosomal RNA (1473 nucleotides) under Triticum aestivum (bread wheat). RNAcentral describes it as "partial small subunit ribosomal RNA". Lineage: Eukaryota; Viridiplantae; Streptophyta; Magnoliopsida; Poales; Poaceae. The record is from RNAcentral.
AUGGUCGUAACCGUGGCAGCGACGGGGUCGGACACGGCCGAGCCGCUGCACUCCACCACCUUCGCCUCCCGCUACGUCCGCGACCAGCUCCCCCGGUACCGGAUGCCGGAGGGGUCGAUCCCCAAGGAGGCGGCGUACCAGAUCAUCAGCGACGAGCUGAUGCUGGACGGGAACCCGCGGCUGAACCUGGCGUCCUUCGUCACCACCUGGAUGGAGCCAGAGUGCGGCAAGCUCAUCAUGGACUCCGUCAACAAGAACUACGUCGACAUGGACGAGUACCCCGUCACCACCGAGCUCCAGAACCGUUGUGUAAACAUGAUAGCUCACUUGUUCAAUGCGCCGAUCGGCGAGGAUGAGACUGCUAUCGGAGUCUCAACGGUGGGGUCCUCGGAAGCAAUCAUGCUUGCGGGCCUGGCGUUCAAGAGGAAGUGGGCAAACAAAAUGAAGGAGCAGGGGAAGCCAUGUGACAAACCUAACAUUGUUACUGGUGCAAAUGUUCAGGUUUGCUGGGAGAAGUUUGCUAGAUAUUUCGAGGUGGAACUGAAGGAGGUCAAGUUAACUGAAGGGUACUAUGUCAUGGAUCCUAAGAAGGCCAUUGAAAUGGUGGAUGAGAACACUAUAUGUGUUGCAGCCAUCUUGGGUUCUACUCUCACUGGAGAGUACGAAGAUGUGAAGCUGUUGAAUGACCUUCUUGUGGAGAAGAACAAGAAAACAGGGUGGAAUGUGCCGAUCCAUGUCGAUGCCGCCAGUGGAGGAUUUAUCGCUCCUUUUCUUCAGCCGGAGCUUGAAUGGGACUUCAGGCUGCCAUUGGUGAAGAGCAUCAACGUUAGUGGGCACAAGUAUGGCCUUGUGUACCCUGGUGUUGGAUGGGUCAUCUGGCGGAGCAAAGACGAUCUGCCCGACGAACUCAUUUUCCACAUAAACUAUCUGGGAACAGAUCAGCCCACAUUCACACUGAACUUCUCCAAAGGUGCUAGCCAGAUCAUUGCACAAUACUAUCAACUGAUCCGCCUCGGCUUCGAGGGGUACAAGCACAUCAUGGAGAACUGCAAGCUGAACGCGGCGGUGCUCAAGGAGGGCAUCGACGCGACGGGGCGGUUCGACGUGCUCUCCAAGGCGGACGGCGUGCCGCUGGUGGCCAUCAGGCUCAAGGACAGCACCAACUUCAGCGUGUUUGACAUCUCGGAGAACCUGAGGAGGUUCGGGUGGAUCGUGCCGGCCUACACCAUGCCCGCGGACGCGGAGCACGUCGCGGUCCUCCGCAUCGUCAUCCGGGAGGACUUCAACCGGAGCCUCGCGCAGCGGCUCCUCGCCGACAUCAACAAGAUCGUGCGCGAGCUGGACGCGCACGCCGUCCACGCCAUCAAGCUGUCCAACGCCGCCGCCGCCGAGGGCGCCUCCAAGAGCACCGUGGACGCCGUCACCGAGGCCUUCAAGGGCCUGGCCGGGAACAAGAAGGCCGGAGUCUGCUGA